Molecule: ribosomal RNA, 481 nt
Filed under: uncultured bacterium
Lineage: Bacteria
Description: bacterial SSU rRNA
Rfam family: Bacterial small subunit ribosomal RNA
Source: RNAcentral
GACGAACGCUGGCGGCGCGCUUAAUACAUGCAAGUCGAACGAGAAGCCAGAGCUUGCUCUGGUGGAAAGUGGCGAACGGGUGAGUAACACGUGAGAAACCUGCCCCAAAGAUUGGGAUAAGCCUUGGAAACGAGGUCUAAUACCAAAUACCUUCCUUUUAACACAUGUUAAAAAGAAGAAAUGCUCCGGCGCUUUGGGAUGGUCUCGCGAUCUAUCAGCUUGUUGGUGAGGUAACGGCUCACCAAGGCAUCGACGGAUAGCUGGUCUGAGAGGAUGUCCAGCCACAUUGGAGCUGAGACACGGUCCAAACUCCUACGGGAGGCAGCAGUAGGGAAUCUUGCGCAAUGAGGGAACCUUGAUGCAGCGACGCCGCGUGCGGGACGAAGGCCCUAGGGUUGUAAACCGCUUUCAGUAGGGACGAAAGUGACGGUACCUACAGAAGAAGCCCCGGCCGAACUAUAGUGCCAGCAGCCGCGGUAAU